CAAUAAGGAAUUAAUGGAUAGUAAUUGGUUUCAGAUCAUUCCUCCUGGUCAGGCAUUAAUGUGGGCAUGCAAUCCUUCAUUAAUCCAAAGUCAUGUACAAAACACUAGCUUGUUAGGAGAUGAAAAGUAUUCAGUGAAUGAACCAGAUUUCAGCCAAGACCAUUAAGGAAUUUUA
Long non-coding RNA from Coffea arabica (coffee), 175 nucleotides. RefSeq lists it as uncharacterized. The record is from RefSeq and is a predicted model, not a curated record. NCBI's taxonomy places the organism in Eukaryota, Viridiplantae, Streptophyta, Magnoliopsida, Gentianales, Rubiaceae.